UACCAAGGCUACAGCAAAGAGGAA
Molecule: non-coding RNA, 24 nt
Filed under: Cricetulus griseus (Chinese hamster)
Lineage: Eukaryota; Metazoa; Chordata; Mammalia; Rodentia; Cricetidae
Source: RNAcentral